This 1810-nucleotide unclassified non-coding RNA is filed under the name Hevea brasiliensis (rubber tree). Lineage: Eukaryota; Viridiplantae; Streptophyta; Magnoliopsida; Malpighiales; Euphorbiaceae. The record is from RNAcentral.
AAGCAGUUGACAUUUCAUGGUCUUUAAUUAAUAACUUCAUCUUUCCCAAUGUUGCAUGAGCACCUACUAUGAUUCAAGCAUUGGAACUGGAUGGAUAGGAGUUGAAAAGGGCCAUUAUAUUAUUCAAUGAUAGACCCAUUCCAGGAAACUCUGACUCGGAAUUAUGGUAGACCAAAACGCCUGUUUUCCCAUAAAUCAUGCAAGAAUCAGCCCAAGUCAUGACCAAGAAACUGGGAAGCCCUGAAAUUGGAGGGCACAGCAGCGCAGCAUGCCAAUAACGCAAUCACAAAAAUCGAAGAAGAAAGCUUUUGAAUAUGUUGGUUAGAAUAAGUAUUCUGUCUUUCCCCAUGUGUUCUUUGAAGGAGAGCCACUACAAGAAAACAUUGCCUUUCCUAGCGAGAUCAUUAAGGCGAUUUAAUCAUCUGCCUUAAAACAAUUCAAGCCAUAAAAUUAGUGCUUUUUUAAGAGGCGGUGUAGUAAUCUGCCUCUAGAUAGAGACAGAUAGCAGGGCAAAGAGGUUAAAAAAAUUCCCCUAAUCUAUUAUCUCUCUCGCUUGUCAACCAUUUUGUCCACUCUAGAAGAAGUUAGCAGGGUAUUCAUGCUGUACUUCUGAAGAGAAGCGACUCAAUCAUAGACAUUUGGAGAGGUUCUCUUCUUCACUUGUGCUGGUGGCCAAGGAAGAUGUGGUGCUGCUCAGUGACGGAUGCAGAAAUUUGACUGAGGGGUUUGGAACAAGCAGGUUGGAAUUCCAAAUUAUGAAUCCCGGUAUCAUUUGUCCCACUAAGCAUGAAUACUCUCCAUUGUAAUUGAUUAUCAAUAAAACCUCACAAUGUCAUGUUAAUAGGAAAGUCUCUCGUUGAUGCCCAUCUGACUCCUUCUCCCUUGGCAACUAAAUAUUAAUUCCCAAGGCGGCAGCCUCAUAAUUAGAGCGUGGGUUUCCAAUUUGGAGAUCUAAAGGAUAAGCAAUUGAAACAGGGUGUGAUGCAAACUAAAAGAAUAUUGAACCAGAGAAAGAAAGGAACUAAGAAACAGAGACUAGAGAACAGAAUCCAAUAGAAGAAGAAGAAGGCGUAUUUAAUUAAUUAAAAUCACACAGUCACCACAAAUCACCAGUUCUUACAGACAAAGGUUACCAUUAUUGUUACAAGUACAACAAACUAAAAACUUCUAUAAUGUAUUGUCACUCAGCUCUAUUCUGUUACAACAGCGAACAUUCUCUCUUUAUUCAAGAACAGCUGCUCAUGAAUGCACACGACAUCAUUCUAUGACAGUUCCACUAAUCUUUCUCUUCAUAGGCUGUGGUUCAGUAACCAAUUCAUGUCUGCAUCAGGGUGGGAUAACAGAGGCCAUCCCACAAUAUGAUAUUGAAGAAACCCAUUGUUACGGAGCAGAUAACCAUUGCAAUCUCAUAAGCAUAUCUAAUAUAAAUGUGAAUGAAUCUGAGACAAUUCAACGAGACAAACAGUUAUGCAACGAGACGAACCAAAGUGUGAAGUGUCGGCUGGGUUUUUUGGAAAGAGAAGUAGAGAACUCUGAAAUACCUUUAAUUCUUAAUUUAAUUAUUAUUUUCACUGUAUUUCUAGAUGUUUUAUUGUAUUGACUUCCACCAAAACUUGCAUCAAAAUGUGAAAAAUAUUUUGAACUCGGUUUUCUAAAAUUCCAAGAAAGUUUUUAUGCUUCUUGAUUUUUGAUAUGUUUCUUUCAAUAUUUGUCAAUAAUUACUAGACAUUUUCCAGUCAAGAAAUCAGCAUCUGAAUCUGAAUUUUUAUGCAAUCCAUUACUUUAUUGAAGUAUAUUUAAAUGGACACCA